Molecule: ribosomal RNA, 253 nt
Filed under: uncultured bacterium
Lineage: Bacteria
Description: partial 16S ribosomal RNA
Rfam family: Bacterial small subunit ribosomal RNA
Source: RNAcentral
UACGUAGGUGGCAAGCGCUGUCCGGAUUUACUGGGCGUAAAGAGCGCGCAGGCGGCCGAGUAAGUCGAAUGUGAAAGCCCCCGGCUCAACUGGGGAAGGUCAUUCGAUACUGUUCGGCUCGAAGAUAGGAGAGGGAAGCGGAAUUUCAGGUGUAGUGGUGAAAUGCGUAGAUAUCUGAAGGAACACCAGUGGCGAAGGCGGCUUUCUGGCCUAUUCUUGACGCUGAGGCGCGAAAGCUAGGGGAGCGAACGGG